RNAcentral lists this ribosomal RNA (274 nucleotides) under uncultured bacterium. RNAcentral's name for it is "partial 16S ribosomal RNA". It matches the Rfam family "Bacterial small subunit ribosomal RNA", at positions 523 to 796 of the family's 1533-position model. The record is from RNAcentral.
AUACGGAGGGUGCAAGCGUUGUCCGGAUUUAUUGGGUUUAAAGGGUGUGUAGGCGGUAUAUUAAGUCAGUGGUGAAAGCCUGCGGCUCAACCGUAGAAAUGCCAUUGAUACUGAUAGACUUGAGUAUGGACGAGGUAGGCGGAAUUUAUGGUGUAGCGGUGAAAUGCAUAGAUACCAUAAAGAACACCGAUAGCGAAGGCAGCUUACUAGGCCAUAACUGACGCUGAGGCACGAAAGCGUGGGGAGCGAACAGGAUUAGAAACCCUAGUAGUCC